CAGCCGCCGCGGUAAGACAGAGGGAGCUAGCGCUGUUCGGAAUUACUGGGCGUAAAGCGCACGUAGGCGGCUUUGUAAGUUAGAGGUGAAAGCCUGGAGCUCAACUCCAGAACUGCCUUUAAGACUGCAUCGCUUGAAUCCAGGAGAGGUGAGUGGAAUUCCGAGUGUAGAGGUGAAAUUCGUAGAUAUUCGGAAGAACACCAGUGACGAAGGCGGCUCACUGGACUGGUAUUGACGCUGAGGUGCGAAAGCGUGGGGAGCAAACAGGAUUAGGUACCCGCGUAGUCCCUGUCUCUUAUAC
This 301-nucleotide ribosomal RNA is filed under the name uncultured bacterium. Its description in RNAcentral is "partial 16S ribosomal RNA". It matches the Rfam family "Bacterial small subunit ribosomal RNA", at positions 509 to 807 of the family's 1533-position model. The record is from RNAcentral.